Molecule: non-coding RNA, 466 nt
Organism: Otolemur garnettii (small-eared galago)
Lineage: Eukaryota; Metazoa; Chordata; Mammalia; Primates; Galagidae
Source: the annotation of a RefSeq genome assembly
UCAGAAAAGAACACUUUUCACCCUGCAGGGGAACGCUGUCAGCAUGGUACCCGCUAGCUGGCUGUGGGCAGUGGUGGUCCCCGCCUGUCUGGGAUCCAGCACAGCCCAGACAGUCACUCAGUCUCAACCAGAGAUGUCUGUGCAGGAGGCAGAGACGGUGACCCUUGGCUGCACAUACGACACCAGUGAGAGUGAUUAUUAUUUGUUCUGGUAUAAACAGCCUCCCAACAGGGAGAUGAUUCUCAUCAUUCGCCAAGAAGCUUAUAAGCAAGAAAAUGCAACAAAGAACAGGUUCUCUGGGAACUUCCAGAAAGCAGCCAAAUCCUUCAGUCUCAAGAUCUCAGACUCACAGCUGGGGGACGCCGCAGUGUAUUUCUGUGCUUUCAUGAAAGGCACAGGAGGUGCUAACGGACUCAGCCACCUACCUCUGAGCCACAGGGAACCUGUGCACCCAGAAACCACCUAA